CUUUUGACCUUCACUUGGGUCUUGAGUAGUAGAAAGACAGAAUAAUCAAGUCAACCAGUGAGUCUCAAGUUCUUUGAUCAACCUUCAUUCUGGAGUUUCCGUAAGUUUUUAAAAUAAAACUCAGAGAUUUCUUUAUAUGACCCUGUCUAGUCUCUCAUAUGUGGUAUUUGUGGAUCCUUACCAAAGCGAUGACGGUGUUUUGCCUUCUCUCUUUCACUCAGAAUAUGUGGUAUUUUUAGAAUAAGGCAGAAUAGCAUCAUGUUUGCUCUCUAUUACCCUAUAACUAAUAGGCUUAUAUGGAGCUGAGGGUAAUUCAAGGAUGUAGCACACUUACCUUGCAUGUGUUGCUUAGUCAAAACUGGGAUCCUCGGAGGGGAGACCAUACCCUUAGAUCAAGAUGUGCAUGUAUGUGGCAAUAUUUGGUGGCUAACCUAAUUUUACUUUGCUCCUCAAGAGACUACCUCCAACUGAAGAAUUAAUGAAGAACUUUGUUGUGAAGGUCUUGGCCUCUUGGGAUAUCUUCUUCCUCAUUUCUUUGGUGACAAUGAUGAACUUCUAGGCAUAGAGAUCAUAGACUUCUCUUUUUUUCUUUUCUUUCUCUUUUUUACAAGGGAUCUGUUGCCCCUUACUUAGGAUACAAUGAACUUGGAGAAGAGAUAGAUCAUAAUCUUGGAGCAUUUAUUUGGAAACCUAAGAAUCUUUUUGGACCUUCUCCUAGUGUAGGAGAUAAAUUUUGGGGUGUAAAGGCAUGUUUAUGCCUAGUCCUAGGGUAGGAGCAGCAGAAUAUAUGAGUCCAAGUGAUCUUGAUCUUGAGAGCAUGACCAUCCUCUCAACAAGGGUCUCACACGGGUUGACCAAACUCAAUACAAUGCAAGCAGGUUAUGAGCUGGUUUUCCUAGUCUGGCAAGCAUGUAUAUAUGGCUAUGGUAGGAAUUAAAGCUAUCGUCAUACAAGAACUCAUCAUGUAGAAUUUUAAGUUUUUCAAAAGAUAAAUCUCCAGAACUCUAGUGCCACUAGGAACAAGAUAAACAACAACUCAGACCUUUUUAUAUUAUAUCCGUCAAUCACCUAGAAUCAAGCAUUCGCAACCCACAAUUUUCAGGUUCAGAGUAAAUUCUAGGUCACAACAAUCAUUUCCAAAACUCGAGUUCAAGGUUGAAAACUAGAUACUUGAAAGGAAUUGUAGGAGAGAAACUAUUCAUCAUUUCCAUGCAUA
This 1216-nucleotide long non-coding RNA is filed under the name Sorghum bicolor (sorghum). RNAcentral describes it as "long non-coding RNA (SBIC_LNC017911)". The record is from RNAcentral. Lineage: Eukaryota; Viridiplantae; Streptophyta; Magnoliopsida; Poales; Poaceae.